UGGUGCCCCACAACGAAGCAACCUGUGGAACCCCAGACAUCGCCUGUUACAAAGAGGAAAAAGCAGGCUCUGCAAAAGAGUUACCAAGCCUGAGGAAAGGGGCCAAAAGUGAAGCAAUGGCACAGCAUAACUUUGGGAUGGCAGAGUCCAUUUAGUGGAAGACUGUUCUCUAAGUACUGGAGACCUUGAGCGUGAACGGUAUCUUCUGGAUGGGGCUGCCCUUGCCCUUGAACGGUGAUAACCAUCUGACCUUGACCUGCAACGAUUGUUACGACUCUUCCCUUCGUCUCUUCUUGGAUACGGUGGCGAUCGCGAGUGGGAACGACUAAAUGAGUGAGAGCAGGAGGCAGUGUGGGAGAAGCACUGCAGGGAGACUUGGACCUUAAAGAAACCCAAACAAACCGAGGAAAACAAUAGAGGAAGUUAAUUCAAACCAGUCCCUGGGCUGGGAAAGAAGGCCUAAAUCUUGGGGGACGUCAAGUCUGGUGGCCUCCUGGAGAAGAAACAAUUACCGUGAGAGAUUUGGUGCUUCUAGAGAGCAGCGCCUGCCUGGAGUCUGGUCGUCAAAAACCUUUGCAGAAAGGUCCUUUGCAAUCUACAGCACAUGGGCAAGCAGCCUGAAGCACAACGCCCGACGCACAGAGCCUGGCUGUCUUCCUGCCGCCACUGGAGUCCCUUCCUGCGAGUGAGCUGCUCGCCCUCUUCUUUCUCUGCUCUGGAUCUGCCACCACGAACUGAAGGGCCACUGGAGCUGGGGGGUCUACAGCCCUGAUUUACCAUUCCAGAGACAGAUGAGUGAACCUACUCAGGACCCCACUGGAGUUAAGGGAUCUCGUGCACUGCACUUUGCAGGAAGAGGGCCGCAACUUGCUCUCUUCCUGCCGUCACACAUUCUCAUGAUUUCUUCAUGCAAGGAUUUGGGGGAAUACACACGGCUCCUCCUUUCCACCAUCUGCCUGAGAACUUCACCUCAGCGGAGGGGAGUUGUACCUUUUCUGCCGGAACCUGAAGUUCUCAACUUUCCAGUACAAGGAUGCAUUUAUGGAGGCAAAUCCAGGGGUGCAGGUGGUGCCCCACAACGAAGCAACCUGUGGAACCCCAGACAUCGCCUGUUACAAAGAGGAAAAAGCAGGCUCUGCAAAAGAGUUACCAAGCCUGAGGAAAGGGGCCAAAAGUGAAGCAAUGGCACAGCAUAACUUUGGGAUGGCAGGUGAGAUUUCCAUCCCUGUUCCUCAAAGGGAACAGCCUCGUUUUGUUUGAGGGUGCGGUGUUGGAAUCAAAGCGCAAGGCCAGUUUUCUUUACUGCAGACUGCGCUGUAGUGCAAAUAGCUUUCGUGUCCC
Grus americana (Whooping crane) is the source of this 1341-nucleotide long non-coding RNA. RefSeq lists it as uncharacterized. The record is from RefSeq and is a predicted model, not a curated record. The transcript has 5 exons. NCBI's taxonomy places the organism in Eukaryota, Metazoa, Chordata, Aves, Gruiformes, Gruidae.